ACGUAGGUGGCAAGCGUUGUCCGGAAUUAUUGGGCGUAAAGAGCAUGUAGGUGGGGUUUUAAGUCCGAUGUGAAAAUGCGGGGCUCAACCCGGGAUGGCAUUUGAUACUGGAAGUAUUGAGUGCAGGAUGGGAAAGGGGAAUUCCAAGUGUAGCGGUGAAAUGCGUAGAUAUUGGGAGGAACACCAGUGGCGAAGGCGCCUUUCUGGACUGUGUCUCACUCUGUGAUGCUAAAGCUACUGUAGCAACCGG
Molecule: ribosomal RNA, 250 nt
Filed under: uncultured prokaryote
Description: partial 16S rRNA
Rfam family: Bacterial small subunit ribosomal RNA
Source: RNAcentral